CCCUUAGGAUAGGUCCCGGGCGCGUCAGGUCGAGCAUGUCCACCGAGUGGCUGUUUCUCUUUUUGCUCCCAGUCUUUCUGAUAUUACUAUGGAUUUUUUUAUCGUUCUUCUAUGUUGGUGCAAGAGGCUAGCAAAAUUCGACACCCAAUGUUCUGCUACCGGCAUACCACCAGAGGUGAAGCCUGGGAAUGAAGAAGGCUUCUUGCUUGUCUUUGAGACAAGUUAUCUGCAGGUAUAUGGAAGUCCUUCAGGGCAACUCGUUAGUCCUGGACCAGGCGAAGCUCUCCUUAAUUCCCUAUAAUAUAAUUAACCGGACUAGUGAAGGUACCCGUGCUAACCAUAUGUCCGUAUUGUUUUGCAUGUUAAGUCAAACUGCAGGCUUAAAGUCCAGCUGCAUGGAACGAACGGUGUAUCAGACAUAUACACCGUGCGUGAUCCAAAGUGCAACCCGGAGUUUUUGGCUCCGGGUUCGUACAACGGACUUAUAAUUACGACACCCAGUACACUAGGGCAAAUUAAGUUCCUGAGGCUCAUGAGAGAAGGUCCAACGGAACACAGUUGGUAUUUGAAAAAAGUAGACUUAUUCUUCAAGGGCAAGAACAAGAAGCUUUUGUUCGAGGUCGACAAUUGGCUCACGUGUCAAGACCAGGACCAUGAGGACGUCUUCCCACUUGAGAUGUCUCAGAGGAAGGUGUUUAAAAUUAUGUUCGGAUUGAAUUUUCCAAGGUGUGUCGAAGCCCUUAAGAAAAGCCCUUAGGAUAGGUCCCGGGCGCGUCAGAUCGA
Long non-coding RNA from Ornithodoros turicata, 783 nucleotides. RefSeq lists it as uncharacterized. Lineage: Eukaryota; Metazoa; Arthropoda; Arachnida; Ixodida; Argasidae. The transcript has 4 exons. The record is from RefSeq and is a predicted model, not a curated record.